Molecule: long non-coding RNA, 2639 nt
Organism: Eubalaena glacialis (North Atlantic right whale)
Lineage: Eukaryota; Metazoa; Chordata; Mammalia; Artiodactyla; Balaenidae
Exons: 2
Source: RefSeq, a predicted model, not a curated record
CCCGGCGCCCGACCCGCCCGGCGCGCCGCUGCCCCCCCGCGCUAGGCCUUCUUGCACUUGCCCUUCUUCUCGCGCUGCUGGAACUUGCGCAGCCGCCGCGCCCACGUGUCCCGCCACUGGAUCACCAGGCUGCUCUUGUCCGCCACAAUGCCGCUCUGGUCGGGCGAGUCCUCCGCGUUGCCCAGCAGUAGGUACUUCUUGAGGGGCUUGAUUUUGGGGCACUUGCAGGCGAUGUCCCGCGAGCGGAUCCAGAGGUUCUGGUCACCGCGGCGGAUGCGGCUGGUGCCCUGCUUGUACACGGAGAUGAUGUUCACCGUAAACUUCCACCAGUCCCCCGCCUUGUCCGCCUUCAGGAUGUGGAUCUGGACGGCUGCAAGGAAGCACAGGCAGGAGGGUGGGCCACGGGUGCCGCCUGGACCCCGAGCUCCUGCGACCAGCAGGGCCAGGGAUGGGGUGGCUUGUGUGAUGGAGAAGGAAAAGGAGACCCAGAGCUGGAAAGUGCCUGCACGGGGUACCUGACUAGGGAAUGGGUGUGUGGUGGCAAAGCUGAUACUGGGGCCAAGGCUGCUGUUCCAGGAAGCCUUAUGUCCUGUGUUGAAGGUGCCACCCAGCACUGUCUUUGGGGACAAUCCUCUUUAGGGUCCAGGAAGGUGCUGUAGGUACUGACCACAUCCCCAGAACUUGGCAGAAUCCAGCUGCCAGGGCAGGUGCCCUCCAUGAGCAUAGCACUGGCGCCUCGGCACAGGAUGGGGGGAACCUCCUCAGAUGGUACCCCCUGGGCAUUUCCAAAGGCCCCGUCACUUAACAUCAAGCCUCAUGACACCCCUAGACAUACAGCCUUGCCCUUGAUCCAAUCUCAGAAACCCAGAAUGGGGUCUCAGUGCCCAGGUGCAGUGCACCCUGAACAGCCCUUCAGGGUGGCUGCAGCGUCUCUUCCAGAGUCCAGGAUCCUUGUACUGCCCCCCUGCCAGUCUGCUUUGUCUCCCUGUCCUCAGGCCAUUCCCCUCCCUUUCAAUUCUCUGCUACUCUUUCCCUGAGUAGAAGGGGUUCUCAAGCUGGAGCAGGCAUCAGAAUCCCCUGGAGGGCUUGUCAAACACAUUGCGGGCCUCACCCCAAUUUCCGAUUCAAUAGAUGUGGACUGGGGCCCAGGACCGCACACCUCUCCCACAUUCCCAGAUGGUGCUGAUCCAGGGAACACACUUUGAGAAUCGAUGCUCUAGUAAAUGUUAACACAUGUUCUUUCUGCAGGAUAUUAAGAGAUACUUCAUAAGAGGAGGACACACUUUUGUGUUUUAAGGGGGGGGAUUUUGCUCAAAUAUGUGAAAUACUGGUUUAAACAAAGGAAGUCGCCUUAGUGCAGGACUUUUCUGAGCCUUUAAUCUACAAACUGUGUGCACACACGCAUGUGCUGGCUUCCCAAACAACUCUCACUGCAGGACCCUUUGGCUGGUGCAUCUCAAGGCACCAGAGCCCCACGGAGCCUACCUGGGGAACUUCUUGGGGGGGACACAACCAUUCCAGGGAUUACAGGUGAAGAGACCGAGACAAGGUGCACUCCAGCCACGAGGACAUGUCCCCAGGGAAUGCCAAGAGGUCAUCACCUGCCCACUUUGCUCUGGGCACUGGGUCCACCCACAGCUUGGCCUGGCCGGCCUCUCUCAAGGUCUCUGGGGGCCACUCUGCCACCUUCACUCCCCAGGCCCUCCCCGUUCCCCUCCUGUGCCCGCACUUAGCCCGGGGUGAUGGGAAGGGGCAGGGAUGGCUGGGCCCUCCAUCGAACGCCACCCGACUCGUCCUUCUGGGGCGAGGGAAGGGGCGGAUUUUCCCAUAUUUUCAUUUCAGCUGUUCCUGGGCAUCCUCAACUUUGCACUCCAGUCUGAGGGCGCCAAAGAAUGGCUGCCAUGGCAACCGUUUCCAUGUUUUUGUCACCAAGGGACUCAACACUCAGUGUGAACUCUGAGGUGGGGGUGGGGAGCCCUCCAGCCUGGAGAAGUGGCUGGGCUGUGUGUGUUUGACUGCGCAGAUAGAGGUCACCGUGGCAACUCCGUGCCCCUCAGCUAAGCAAGCGGGGAGCCGCCCCCAGCAUCCCCCAGAGCCCCGGUUUCCUCUCCUUGGGACUGAGCUGAAUACAGAAUGAGCCUCCCCCAGGAUGCAGCUGUUUGCCUGUGUGGGACCUCAGACCUCCGGCCCAGCCACAGUGUCCCCCCAACCAGGGUGGGCUGGGGUGGCCGACAAGGAUGCUGCAGAAGGCACCUCUGGCUCAGGCCCCUGGAGAAUGUGGCUUUGAUCAUCUGUUGGUGUUAUGAGCUGAACCGUGUAUCUCCCCCCACCGGCAAAAUUAAUACAUUGAAGUCCUAACCCCCAGUACCUCAGAAUGUGGCAGUAUUUGGAGAUAACUUAAUUACCUCUUAACGACUUUAUAACUUAAAGGGUGGGCCCUAAUCCAAUAUGACUGGAGUCCUCAUAAGAAGAGAUUAGGACAGAGACACGCACAGAGGGACGACCACGUGAAGACACAGCAAGAAGACGGCCACCUACAAGCCCAGGAGAGAGGCCUCAGAGGAAACCAACCCUGACGACACCUUGAUCCAGUACUUCCAAACUCCAAAACUGGGAGAAAAUGAGUUUCUGUUGUUUGA